This 383-nucleotide ribosomal RNA is filed under the name uncultured prokaryote. RNAcentral's name for it is "bacterial SSU rRNA". It matches the Rfam family "Archaeal small subunit ribosomal RNA", at positions 341 to 725 of the family's 1478-position model. The record is from RNAcentral.
GCGAAAACUUUACAAUGCUGGCAACAGCGAUAAGGGAACCUCGAGUGCCAGGUUACAAAUCUGGCUGUCGAGAUGCCUAAAAAGCAUUUCAUAGCAAGGGCCGGGCAAGACCGGUGCCAGCCGCCGCGGUAACACCGGCGGCUCGAGUGGUAACCGUUAUUAUUGGGUCUAAAGGGUCUGUAGCCGGCCGGAUAAGUCUCUUGAGAAAUCUGGCAGCUUAACUGUCAGGCUUUCAGGAGAUACUGUCUGGCUCGAGGCCGGGAGAGGUGAGAGGUACCUCAGGGUAGGGGUGAAAUCUUGUAAUCCUUGAAGGACCACCAGUGGCGAAGGCGUCUCACCAGAGCGGACCUGACGGCAAGGGACGAAAGCUAGGGGCACGAACC